Molecule: ribosomal RNA, 482 nt
Filed under: uncultured bacterium
Lineage: Bacteria
Description: partial 16S ribosomal RNA
Rfam family: Bacterial small subunit ribosomal RNA
Source: RNAcentral
AUUGAACGCUGGCGGCAUGCUCUACACAUGCAAGUCGAACGGUAACAGGCCGCAAGGUGCUGACGAGUGGCGAACGGGUGAGUAAUGCAUCGGAACGUGCCCAGUCGUGGGGGAUAACUACUCGAAAGAGUAGCUAAUACCGCAUACGAUCUAUGGAUGAAAGCGGGGGACCGUAAGGCCUCGCGCGAUUGGAGCGGCCGAUGUCAGAUUAGGUAGUUGGUGGGGUAAAGGCUCACCAAGCCAACGAUCUGUAGCGGGUCUGAGAGGACGACCAGCCACACUGGAACUUGGACGCGGCCCAGACUCCUACGGGAGGCAGCAGUGGGGAAUUUUGGACAAUGGGCGCAAGCCUGAUCCAGCAAUGCCGCGUGCAGGAAGAAGGCCUUCGGGUUGUAAACUGCUUUUGUACGGAACGAAACGGCUCUGGUUAAUACCCGGGGCUAAUGACGGUACCGUAAGAAUAAGCACCGGCUAACUACGUG